AUUGAACGCUGGCGGCAGGCCUAACACAUGCAAGUCGAGCGGUAGAGAGGUGCUUGCAUCUCUUGAGAGCGGCGGACGGGUGAGUAAUGCCUAGGAAUCUGCCUAGUGGUGGGGGAUAACGUUCGGAAACGGACGCUAAUACCGCAUACGUCCUACGGGAGAAAGCGGGGGAUCUUCGGACCUCGCGCCAUUAGAUGAGCCUAGGUCGGAUUAGCUAGUUGGUGAGGUAAUGGCUCACCAAGGCGACGAUCCGUAACUGGUCUGAGAGGAUGAUCAGUCACACUGGAACUGAGACACGGUCCAGACUCCUACGGGAGGCAGCAGUGGGGAAUAUUGGACAAUGGGCGAAGCCUGAUCCAGCCAUGCCGCGUGUGUGAAGAAGGUCUUCGGAUUGUAAAGCACUUUAAGUUGGAGGAAGGGUAGGUAACCUAAUACGUU
RNAcentral lists this ribosomal RNA (438 nucleotides) under uncultured bacterium. Its description in RNAcentral is "bacterial SSU rRNA". It matches the Rfam family "Bacterial small subunit ribosomal RNA", at positions 30 to 470 of the family's 1533-position model. The record is from RNAcentral.